This is a non-coding RNA of Pimephales promelas (fathead minnow), 598 nucleotides long. NCBI's taxonomy places the organism in Eukaryota, Metazoa, Chordata, Actinopteri, Cypriniformes, Leuciscidae. The record is from RefSeq and is a predicted model, not a curated record.
AGGCCGAAGGCUCUCCUGAAUCCUCAGGUACCCCAGAUGCCCCAGAUUCUCCUGACACCUCAGGUACUCCAGAGGCCCAAGGAUCCCCUGACACCUCUGGUACCCCAGGUUCUCCUGAGACCUCAGGUACCCCAGAUGCCCCAGAUUCUCCAGACACCUCAGGUACUCCAGAGGCCAAAGGAUCCCCUGACACCUCUGGUAACCCAGAGGCUCCAGACACCCAAGAGAUCCCAGACUCCCCAUAAUCCCCAGAGGCUUCGUGUGGAAGGGUUUCAAGGAUCGGGUGGAGCUCCUCCUCUUGUAAGAGACAAGGUGGGGUGGCAAAAAGGAAAUUAGCCUCCUCAACAGCAGAUGAUAGAUAACAGCAUGGCAACAAUGCUGGCAAUGAUAAUGAGGUAGCCAUUUUUGAAUCAAGAUUGUAACCAAUACAAAAAUAUAAAUGGUUGUGAAUUCCAGAUCAUGGUUACUUGCUUUCAAAUAUUUAGGAUAUCCCUCCCCACUGCAGUCUAACGGGUAUAUACCAUACAUUGGACACCACCUCACCCAGAUAUAACAAAGAAAUAAAUACUAUGUUGAAGUAAUCAAGAACCCCCUUAAG